AAUUCUAGAGCUAAUACUUGCGUUCACCCCGACUUCUCGGAAGGGGCAGCAUUUAUUAGAUACAAGCCAAUCGAGAGUUUACUCUCGUAAUAUGGUGAUUCAUAAUAACUAAGCGAAUCGCAUGGGUUUACCCGGCGAUAGACCCUUCAAGUUUCUGACCUAUCAGCUAUUGACGGUAGGGUAUUGGCCUACCGUGGCUAUGACGGGUAACGGAGAAUUAGGGUUCGAUUCCGGAGAGGGAGCCUGAGAAACGGCUACCACAUCUAAGGAUGGCAGCAGGCGCGCAAAUUACCCAAUCCUGACACAGGGAGGUAGUGACAAGAAAUAACAAUGCAGGGCUUCACAGUCUUGCAAUUGGAAUGAGUAGAUUUUAAAUCACUCUACGAGUAACAAUUGGAGGGCAAGUCUGGUGCCAGCAGCCGCGGUAAUUCCAGCUCCAAUAGCGUAUACUAAAGUUGUUGCAGUUAAAAAGCUCGUAGUUGAAUUUCUGGUUUCGGAGUGCGGUCUGCCCCGUGGGGUAAGUGUCAGCGCUCGGGAGCCAUCCUCGAGGAGAACAUGCCUGUGAUUGAGUUCAUGGGUAUGGGAGCCUCGUCUUUUACUGUGAGCAAACUAGAGUGUUCAAAGCAGGCUUACGCCGUUGAAUACAUUAGCAUGGAAUAAUAAAAUAGGACUCUGGUCUAUUUUGUUGGUUAGUACUCCAGGGUAAUGAUUAAUAGGGACAGUUGGGGGUAUUCGUAUUCAAUUGUCAGAGGUGAAAUUCUUGGAUCUAUGGAAGACGAACUACUGCGAAAGCAUUUA
Molecule: ribosomal RNA, 798 nt
Filed under: uncultured microeukaryote
Lineage: Eukaryota
Description: partial 18S ribosomal RNA
Rfam family: Eukaryotic small subunit ribosomal RNA
Source: RNAcentral